Molecule: ribosomal RNA, 254 nt
Filed under: uncultured bacterium
Lineage: Bacteria
Description: partial 16S ribosomal RNA
Rfam family: Bacterial small subunit ribosomal RNA
Source: RNAcentral
UACGUAGGGUGCGAGCGUUAAUCGGAAUUACUGGGCGUAAAGGGUGCGCAGGCGGUCUCGUAAGCUGGGUGUGAAAGCCCCGGGCUUAACCUGGGAAUGGCAUUCAGGACUGCGAGGCUUUGAGUGUGGCAGAGGGAGGUGGAAUUCCACGUGUAGCAGUGAAAUGCGUAGAGAUGUGGAGGAACACCGAUGGCGAAGGCAGCCCCCUGGGCUAACACUGACGCUCAUGCACGAAAGCGUGGGGAGCAAACAGG